GAGAGCCGUGUGAUGGGUGACUAUCCAGCACGGUUCGGAGAGCACUUUUAGUCUGCGUUGGUGAAUGGAAGCCCCUCUAUAAAGCAAGAAAGAAGCGGCUAUUCCCCCUAUGUCACCAAUUGGGGAGUCACCAUUGACUCUAU
This is a non-coding RNA of Lupinus angustifolius (narrow-leaved blue lupine), 143 nucleotides long. The record is from Rfam. Lineage: Eukaryota; Viridiplantae; Streptophyta; Magnoliopsida; Fabales; Fabaceae.